Molecule: ribosomal RNA, 460 nt
Filed under: uncultured bacterium
Lineage: Bacteria
Description: partial 16S ribosomal RNA
Rfam family: Bacterial small subunit ribosomal RNA
Source: RNAcentral
CCUACGGGAGACAGCAGUGAGGAAUAUUGGUCAAUGGGCGCAAGCCUGAACCAGCCAAGUCGCGUGAGGGAUGACGGUCCUAUGGAUUGUAAACCUCUUUUGUCGGGGAGCAAGGCCCGCCACGUGUGGCGGGAAGGAGAGUACCCUAAGAAAAAGCAUCGGCUAACUCCGUGCCAGCAGCCGCGGUAAUACGGAGGAUGCGAGCGUUAUCCGGAUUUAUUGGGUUUAAAGGGUGCGUAGGCGGAAGGUUAAGUCAGCGGUAAAAUGUCGGUGCUCAACACCGGCCUGCCGUUGAAACUGGUCUUCUUGAGUGAGCGAGAAGUAUGCGGAAGGCGUGGUGUAGCGGUGAAAUGCAUAGAGAUCACGCAGAACUCCGAUUGCGAAGGCAGCAUACCGGCGCUCAACUGACGCUGAGGCACGAAAGCGUGGGGAUCGAACAGGAUUAGAUACCCUGGUAGUC